RNAcentral lists this ribosomal RNA (3011 nucleotides) under Salmonella enterica subsp. enterica serovar Saintpaul. RNAcentral's name for it is "23S ribosomal RNA". It matches the Rfam family "Bacterial large subunit ribosomal RNA". The record is from RNAcentral. Lineage: Bacteria; Pseudomonadati; Pseudomonadota; Gammaproteobacteria; Enterobacterales; Enterobacteriaceae.
GGGUUGUGAGGUUAAGCGACUAAGCGUACACGGUGGAUGCCCUGGCAGUCAGAGGCGAUGAAGGGCGUGCUAAUCUGCGAUAAGCGCCGGUAAGGUGAUAUGAACCGUUAUAACCGGCGAUACCCGAAUGGGGAAACCCAGUGUGAUUCGUCACACUAUCAUUAACUGAAUCCAUAGGUUAAUGAGGCGAACCGGGGGAACUGAAACAUCUAAGUACCCCGAGGAAAAGAAAUCAACCGAGAUUCCCCCAGUAGCGGCGAGCGAACGGGGAGGAGCCCAGAGCCUGAAUCAGCAUGUGUGUUAGUGGAAGCGUCUGGAAAGGCGCGCGAUACAGGGUGACAGCCCCGUACACAAAAGCGCAUGUGCUGUGAGCUCGAUGAGUAGGGCGGGACACGUGGUAUCCUGUCUGAAUAUGGGGGGACCAUCCUCCAAGGCUAAAUACUCCUGACUGACCGAUAGUGAACCAGUACCGUGAGGGAAAGGCGAAAAGAACCCCGGCGAGGGGAGUGAAAAAGAACCUGAAACCGUGUACGUACAAGCAGUGGGAGCACCCUUUGGGGUGUGACUGCGUACCUUUUGUAUAAUGGGUCAGCGACUUAUAUUCUGUAGCAAGGUUAACCGAAUAGGGGAGCCGGAGGGAAACCGAGUCUUAAUUGGGCGUUAAGUUGCAGGGUAUAGACCCGAAACCCGGUGAUCUAGCCAUGGGCAGGUUGAAGGUUGGGUAACACUAACUGGAGGACCGAACCGACUAAUGUUGAAAAAUUAGCGGAUGACCUGUGGCUGGGGGUGAAAGGCCAAUCAAACCGGGAGAUAGCUGGUUCUCCCCGAAAGCUAUUUAGGUAGCGCCUCGUGAAUUCAUCUCCGGGGGUAGAGCACUGUUUCGGCUAGGGGGCCAUCCCGGCUUACCAACCCGAUGCAAACUGCGAAUACCGGAGAAUGUUAUCACGGGAGACACACGGCGGGUGCUAACGUCCGUCGUGAAGAGGGAAACAACCCAGACCGCCAGCUAAGGUCCCAAAGUCAUGGUUAAGUGGGAAACGAUGUGGGAAGGCCCAGACAGCCAGGAUGUUGGCUUAGAAGCAGCCAUCAUUUAAAGAAAGCGUAAUAGCUCACUGGUCGAGUCGGCCUGCGCGGAAGAUGUAACGGGGCUAAACCAUGCACCGAAGCUGCGGCAGCGAACGUAUCACCCAAGACAACUUUACGGAGUUGACGAUUGACGGAGCGAAGCGACGUCAAAGCGUUCAUUAAAGUCGAGUUGGCUUAGGGAUACGUUCGUUGGGUAGGGGAGCGUUCUGUAAGCCUGUGAAGGUGUGUCGUGAGGCAUGCUGGAGGUAUCAGAAGUGCGAAUGCUGACAUAAGUAACGAUAAAGCGGGUGAAAAGCCCGCUCGCCGGAAGACCAAGGGUUCCUGUCCAACGUUAAUCGGGGCAGGGUGAGUCGACCCCUAAGGCGAGGCCGAAAGGCGUAGUCGAUGGGAAACGGGUUAAUAUUCCCGUACUUGGUGUUACUGCGAAGGGGGGACGGAGAAGGCUAUGUUGGCCGGGCGACGGUUGUCCCGGUUUAAGCGUGUAGGUGUGUGUUCCAGGUAAAUCCGGUUCACUUUAACACUGAGGCGUGACGACGAGGCACUACGGUGCUGAAGCAACAAAUGCCCUGCUUCCAGGAAAAGCCUCUAAGCAUCAGGUAACACGAAAUCGUACCCCAAACCGACACAGGUGGUCAGGUAGAGAAUACCAAGGCGCUUGAGAGAACUCGGGUGAAGGAACUAGGCAAAAUGGUGCCGUAACUUCGGGAGAAGGCACGCUGACACGUAGGUGAAGUGAUUUACUCAUGGAGCUGAAGUCAGUCGAAGAUACCAGCUGGCUGCAACUGUUUAUUAAAAACACAGCACUGUGCAAACACGAAAGUGGACGUAUACGGUGUGACGCCUGCCCGGUGCCGGAAGGUUAAUUGAUGGGGUCAGCGCAAGCGAAGCUCCUGAUCGAAGCCCCGGUAAACGGCGGCCGUAACUAUAACGGUCCUAAGGUAGCGAAAUUCCUUGUCGGGUAAGUUCCGACCUGCACGAAUGGCGUAAUGAUGGCCAGGCUGUCUCCACCCGAGACUCAGUGAAAUUGAACUCGCUGUGAAGAUGCAGUGUACCCGCGGCAAGACGGAAAGACCCCGUGAACCUUUACUAUAGCUUGACACUGAACAUUGAGCCUUGAUGUGUAGGAUAGGUGGGAGGCUUUGAAGUGUGGACGCCAGUCUGCAUGGAGCCGACCUUGAAAUACCACCCUUUAAUGUUUGAUGUUCUAACGUGGACCCGUUACCCGGGUUGCGGACAGUGUCUGGUGGGUAGUUUGACUGGGGCGGUCUCCUCCUAAAGAGUAACGGAGGAGCACGAAGGUUGGCUAAUCCUGGUCGGACAUCAGGAGGUUAGUGCAAUGGCAUAAGCCAGCUUGACUGCGAGCGUGACGGCGCGAGCAGGUGCGAAAGCAGGUCAUAGUGAUCCGGUGGUUCUGAAUGGAAGGGCCAUCGCUCAACGGAUAAAAGGUACUCCGGGGAUAACAGGCUGAUACCGCCCAAGAGUUCAUAUCGACGGCGGUGUUUGGCACCUCGAUGUCGGCUCAUCACAUCCUGGGGCUGAAGUAGGUCCCAAGGGUAUGGCUGUUCGCCAUUUAAAGUGGUACGCGAGCUGGGUUUAGAACGUCGUGAGACAGUUCGGUCCCUAUCUGCCGUGGGCGCUGGAGAACUGAGGGGGGCUGCUCCUAGUACGAGAGGACCGGAGUGGACGCAUCACUGGUGUUCGGGUUGUCAUGCCAAUGGCACUGCCCGGUAGCUAAAUGCGGAAGAGAUAAGUGCUGAAAGCAUCUAAGCACGAAACUUGCCCCGAGAUGAGUUCUCCCUGAGACUUUAGGUCUCCUGAAGGAACGUUGAAGACGACGACGUUGAUAGGCCGGGUGUGUAAGCGCAGCGAUGCGUUGAGCUAACCGGUACUAAUGAACCGUGAGGCUUAACCUUACAACGCCGAAG